UGAGUUUGAUUAUGGCUCAGGAUGAACGCUAGCGGCAGGCCUAACACAUGCAAGUCGAACGGUAACAGGGAAAAGCUUGCUUUUCCGCUGACGAGUGGCGCACGGGUGCGUAACGCGUAUACAAUCUGCCUCUUACCGGGGGAUAGCCUUUGGAAACGAAGAAUAAUACCCCAUGGUAUCCAUUUAUCGCGUGGUAAUUGGAUUAAAGUUUCGGCGGUAAGAGAUGAGUAUGCGUUCUAUUAGCUAGAUGGUGUGGUAACGGCACACCAUGGCAACGAUAGAUAGGGGCCCUGAGAGGGGGAUCCCCCACACUGGUACUGAGACACGGACCAGACUCCUACGGGAGGCAGCAGUGAGGAAUAUUGGACAAUGGGCGAAAGCCUGAUCCAGCCAUGCCGCGUGCAGGAAGACUGCCCUAUGGGUUGUAAACUGCUUUUGUACGGGAAGAAACCCACCUACGUGUAGGUGGCUGACGGUACCGUAAGAAUAAGCAUCGGCUAACUCCGUGCCAGCAGCCGCGGUAAUACGGAGGAUGCAAGCGUUAUCCGGAAUCAUUGGGUUUAAAGGGUCCGUAGGUGGAUCGGUCAGUC
Molecule: ribosomal RNA, 590 nt
Filed under: uncultured Bacteroidota bacterium
Lineage: Bacteria; Pseudomonadati; Bacteroidota
Description: bacterial SSU rRNA
Rfam family: Bacterial small subunit ribosomal RNA
Source: RNAcentral